GUUUAGCACGCUGUCCUUGACCAUGUCCCUCUGUCCACAGGGUGGUGGUGUUGGACUGUGUUACAGACACACUGCUGUUUUCCGGCAAGGUGCUGGUGGUCGGAUUAGUGGGUCUGCUGGCUUUCUUCUUCUUCUCUGGGAGAAUCAGGCUGCCAGAUGACAAUUUCCAGAUUCAGCUGCUGCAUUACUACUGGUUGCCCGUUAUCACGGUGAUGGCAGGAGCUUACUUGAUCGCUCAGGGCUUCUUCAGUGUGUACAGCAUGUGUGUGGACACCCUUUUUCUCUGCUUCUUGGAGGAUCUGGAGCGUAAUGAGGGCACCAUGCUGAGACCAUACUACAUGUCCGGGUCUCUGUGGCGAAUCCUCAAUAAGUCCUAAAGAGCCUUAAAAAAAAGACAGCUUUCGACCACAUCCUUUUCCAUACUUUUCAUAAAUAAACCAAACAAGCAUUUAUGUUAGUCUUUUUUUGUUUGUUGCUGUAAAACUGCUCAGCAUUCUGAUCGCUACUGUAAUGUUCAGAAGACAGCUGACGGGGCCUCUAUCAGGACUGAUUUGGUUUUGACCAAACAGCAGACACACACUGGAUGUUCUGGCAAACACUGAGUAGGAGUAAGCUUGUGCCUAAAUUUGGGGUAUAUGAGAAGUUUUAGUUCUUUGCUAACUCCUGAUUAUGCAUAAAAGAUCACAUUCCAUGGUAUGCUACG
Molecule: non-coding RNA, 703 nt
Organism: Electrophorus electricus (electric eel)
Lineage: Eukaryota; Metazoa; Chordata; Actinopteri; Gymnotiformes; Gymnotidae
Source: RefSeq, a predicted model, not a curated record